AUAAUCAUGAACUUCAUUCCAAUAAAACCUCCUGUCAGCUCUUAUAGAAUAGGCACUUUUCUAGGUGGUGAGAUGAAGCUUUAUAAAUUACUCCCUCUCACUAGCCUGAAACAGUAGUAGAAUUCCAAAAGAUAGCCUUCUCUCUUAUCUUAAUAUGUUGGUGCGCUGUUCUUCGUCUUACUUGUACCUCAGGAAGCUAAUUAACAGAAAAAAAAUUGUCUCUUUUAUUUUUAAUGAAUAAGAGGCACAUCUCAGCAAAAGUGUGAAAACUUUCAAUUGGCUUGAACAUUUUAUAACCUUUUUCUUCCCCUAAGAGGUACCCAGGACCUCACAAUGAGGUGCAUUGUGAGCCUCAUGCCAAGGUUAAUUUGGCACCUCUGUCACAAAGAGCAUGUGCAGACUCUGACAGGCUUUCAGGGAAGCCACGUCCCCCAUGUGCUCUUCUGGUUUCCUCAUUGGUGUUCAGCAAGAGGAGGCUGGGCUCUUCCCGGGGAGUGGAGUGCUAUGACAGAUGAGACUUUCAUGCAAGAAAAUAAAUCCUGCACAUUUGAUGUACUGCUUUAAACUUAAAGACCUCUUUGGACCCGAAAUUGUAAGGAUUCUAUAAACCUGGAGAGUAAUCCUAAGAAAAAUCAUCAGAAGAAAGGAAUUUGUAGAACUAAAACUGCAAACAUCCAGAAUCUUGAUGGUGUGCCAAGCCAAAUGUCAACUGGAACUCAACCAAAAACUAAAUUUCACAGGCUAGCCUGCGUAACCCUAUUUCAGCCAUAAAUUACCUGAUGUGUAAAAUUCACUGCUCUGUAGAACAUGUCUGAGGAACAUGUGUUCAUUUGUGAAUCUAGGCCUGACUGCCAAACAAGUGACUCUCAGUUCCUGACAAAUACUGAGGGCAUGGGCUCUCCCAGCUCGAGUCAUUCCCAUGGGGCUAGGACUGUGCGUUGGUUGGAGAUGAGACAGCCUUUACUGAUCACAUAUUUCCUCUGUCUUGAAUGGAUAGCAGCAUCGACUAUUGCAAUAAAUUCUCCACUCCGCAGACCUGGGCAGCCCACACCUGUGCCAGAAAUUAUGCACCAGAUGGCAACUGAAAAUGAUUGGAUAUCUAUGAGAAGAGGAUAUUUAGAGAAAAUACACAUUUACAAGUAAAGCAAG
Molecule: long non-coding RNA, 1149 nt
Filed under: Pan paniscus (pygmy chimpanzee)
Lineage: Eukaryota; Metazoa; Chordata; Mammalia; Primates; Hominidae
Description: lncRNA (ENSPPAG00000044288.1)
Source: RNAcentral